This is a long non-coding RNA of Photinus pyralis (common eastern firefly), 815 nucleotides long. RefSeq lists it as uncharacterized. The transcript is spliced from 3 exons. NCBI's taxonomy places the organism in Eukaryota, Metazoa, Arthropoda, Insecta, Coleoptera, Lampyridae. The record is from RefSeq and is a predicted model, not a curated record.
AACUCAUAGGUAUGUACUAUCAAAGAGUAUAUACGUUAUAUACUCUUUGGUACUAUGUACCAUUGAAUAAGUAACUUAUUCAUGUAUGUACUGGUAUGUACGGAUAUACGUAGGUAAUCGUUUUUGGAGUUCGUAUCUAAUCAUUGAAUAAGUAAUCAUACAAUGAGCAUACUUAUACAACGAUCAAAUGGAUUUUCGGUGUCGAUGUGACCAUUAAUACCUUAGUCUAGCCUUUAGAUAAUAUAACGUUGACCAGAUUUCUGCCACAGCAGGUUCGUCUUUGAAAACACGUGUUCCGUUACAGCAUAAUUUGUACCCGGAAACACGCCAAUUAAGUGUACGACCAGGCCAUUACUGUGUAACAAAGAAACUGUGUCGGCGAACAAAGUGCGAUUAUAAUUUUGGGUUACCUAAAAUAAUUCCCGCCGUCGAAGUUGAAUGUACGGCGAAAGCAUUGCAUAAUUGUGGCCGAUGUGGCGAUAUUUGCAAGGACGAUUAUUGGCAUAAAAACUAUACCAGUUUUCUAUGUCACAUUUGUAUGGAGGAAGAAAAAGUUUUGAGGGAAGACUUUACCAUGAAACAAUUGAAGGAAUUUCAAAAGAUACGCCUCUGUUGGUAUAAGCAUAAUCAUGAAGGCGUGGAUGCCUAUACACAGUUAUAUUCAGACGAAAAAUUGAAACGAAGAGAAAGGUGUGAAAAUUACCUCAAUCUAUACAUUGAUUCUAUUAAUAAAUAACAGAGUGUACCUACAACACAUUUAGACUAAAUUAUUUAAUAAAAAAAUUGAUUGAGACACAAAUAAAUUAUAAAGAAUU